GACGAACGCUGGCGGCGUGCUUAACACAUGCAAGUCGAACGGAAACGCCCUGCCUUUGUGGGGUGCUCGAGUGGCGAACGGGUGAGUAACACGUGAGUAACGUGUCCUUGACUUUGGGAUAACUUCAGGAAACUGGGGCUAUUACCGGAUAGGAGCUCUUGCUGCAUGGUGGGGGUUGGUUAGUUUCGGCGGUUGGGGAUGGACUAGCGGCGUAUCAGCUUGUUGGUGAGCUAGUGGCUUACCAAGGCAAGGACUGGUAGCCUGCCUGAUAGGGUGACCGGCCACAUUGGGAUUGAGAUGCGACCCAGACUCCAACCGGAGGCAGCAGAGCGGAAUGUUGUACGAGGCGCGGAGGCCUGAUGCAGCAACGCCACGCGCGGGGAGAGUGCAAUCGGGUUGUGAGCCACUUUCGCCUGUGACGGAAUGUUAGUGACAUUAAUGGGUGAAUAAGCACCGGCUAACUACGUG
RNAcentral lists this ribosomal RNA (468 nucleotides) under uncultured bacterium. RNAcentral's name for it is "partial 16S ribosomal RNA". It matches the Rfam family "Bacterial small subunit ribosomal RNA", at positions 28 to 507 of the family's 1533-position model. The record is from RNAcentral.